GAGACCGGCGCACGGGUGCGUAACGCGUAUGCAAUCUACCUUUUACAGAGGGAUAGCCCAGAGAAAUUUGGAUUAAUACCUCAUAGUAUGUGAGAAUCGCAUGGUUUUCACAUUAAAGUUCCAACGGUAAAAGAUGAGCAUGCGUCCCAUUAGCUAGAUGGUAAGGUAACGGCUUACCAUGGCGACGAUGGGUAGGGGUCCUGAGAGGGAGAUCCCCCACACUGGUACUGAGACACGGACCAGACUCCUACGGGAGGCAGCAGUGAGGAAUAUUGGACAAUGGGCGCAAGCCUGAUCCAGCCAUGCCGCGUGCAGGAUGACGGUCCUAUGGAUUGUAAACUGCUUUUGUACAGGAAGAAACACUCCCUCGUGAGGGAGCUUGACGGUACUGUAAGAAUAAGGAUCGGCUAACUCCGUGCCAGCAGCCGCGGUAAUACGGAGGAUCCAAGCGUUAUCCGGAAUCAUUGGGUUUAAAGGGUCCGUAGGCGGUUUAAUAAGUCAGUGGUGAAAGCCCAUCGCUCAACGGUGGAACGGCCACUGAUACUGUUAAACUUGAAUUAUUAGGAAGUAACUAGAAUAUGUAGUGUAGCGGUGAAAUGCUUAGAGAUUACAUGGAAUACCAAUUGCGAAGGCAGGUUACUACUAAUGGAUUGACGCUGAUGGACGAAAGCGUGGGUAGCGAACAGGAUUAGGUACCCUGGUAGUCCACGCCGUAAACGAUGGAUACUAGCUGUUGGGAGCAAUCUCAGUGGCUAAGCGAAAGUGAUAAGUAUCCCACCUGGGGAGUACGU
Molecule: ribosomal RNA, 791 nt
Filed under: uncultured Bacteroidota bacterium
Lineage: Bacteria; Pseudomonadati; Bacteroidota
Description: bacterial SSU rRNA
Rfam family: Bacterial small subunit ribosomal RNA
Source: RNAcentral